Molecule: ribosomal RNA, 253 nt
Filed under: uncultured bacterium
Lineage: Bacteria
Description: partial 16S ribosomal RNA
Rfam family: Bacterial small subunit ribosomal RNA
Source: RNAcentral
UACGUAGGGGGCAAGCGUUGUCCGGAUUUAUUGGGCGUAAAGAGCGUGUAGGCGGCCAUACAGGUCCGUUGUGAAAACUGGAGGCUUAACCUCCAGACGUCGAUGGAAACCGUAUGGCUAGAGUCCGGAAGAGGAGAGUGGAAUUCCUGGUGUAGCGGUGAAAUGCGCAGAUAUCAGGAAGAACACCCGUGGCGAAGGCGGCUCACUGGGACGGUACUGACGCUGAGACGCGAAAGCGUGGGGAGCGAACAGG